ACUUAGCCCCGAUAGCAGCAAAAAUCCUUUACUUUGGCGAUAGCCAAAAGCAAAGAUUGAAGUGUAUAGCGGGACAAAAC
Molecule: non-coding RNA, 80 nt
Organism: Flavobacterium frigoris
Lineage: Bacteria; Pseudomonadati; Bacteroidota; Flavobacteriia; Flavobacteriales; Flavobacteriaceae
Source: Rfam